GAUGAAGAACGUAGCGAAAUGCGAUAAGUAAUGUGAAUUGCAGAAUUCAGUGAAUCAUCGAAUCUUUGAACGCACAUUGCGCCUCUUGGCAUUCCGGUGAGCACACCUGUCCGAGCGCCGUCGCAGCACUGAGGCUUCUGCCUUGCGUUGGUGGUCGGCUCCCCUAGCCUUCCCUUUUUUUUUUUGAAAACAAAAAAAGAGACGUGGAGCGUGCGGGGGCCGCCGCCGAAACCCCGACGGCGCCGCACCGCGGCCGGCAAUCGCGCAAAGAGCGACAAAAGUCCGGUCGGCGGGACGGCCGCCUUGUACCCCUUAAAAAACACAAGCUUGGCCUCGGAUCAGGUGGGGAUACCCGCUGAACUUAAGCAUAUCAAUAAGCGGAGGA
RNAcentral lists this unclassified non-coding RNA (385 nucleotides) under soil metagenome. Its description in RNAcentral is "partial contains 5.8S ribosomal RNA, internal transcribed spacer 2, and large subunit ribosomal RNA". The stretch from base 1 to 120 matches the Rfam family "5.8S ribosomal RNA", at positions 35 to 154 of the family's 154-position model. The record is from RNAcentral.